UUAAAGGCUGUGGNUCAACCAUAGUUCGCUUUGGAAACUGUCAAACUUGAGUGCAGAAGGGGAGAGUGGAAUUCCAUGUGUAGCGGUGAANUGCGUAGAUAUAUGGAGGAACACCGGUGGCGAAAGCGGCUCUCUGGUCUGUAGCUGACGCUGAGGCUCGAAAGCGUGGGGAGCGAACAGGAUUAGAUACCCUGGUAGUNCACGCCGUAAACGAUGAGUGCUAGGUGUUGGGUCCUUUCCGGGAUUCAGUGCCGCAGCUAACGCAUUAAGCACUCCGCCUGGGGAGUACGACCGCAAGGUUGAAACUCAAAGGAAUUGACGGGGGCCCGCACAAGCGGUGGAGCAUGUGGUUUAAUUCGAAGCAACGCGAAGAACCUUACCAGGUCUUGACAUCCCGAUGCUAUUUCUAGAGAUAGGAAGUUACUUCGGUACAUCGGUGACAGGUGGUGCAUGGUUGUCGUCAGCUCGUGUCGUGAGAUGUUGGNNUAANUCCCGCAACGAGCGCAACCCCUAUUGUUAGUUGCCAUCAUUCAGUUGGGCACUCUAGCGAGACUGCCGGUAAUAAACCGGAGGAAGGUGGGGAUGACGUCAAAUCAUCAUGCCCCUUAUGACCUGGGCUACACACGUGCUACAAUGAUUGGUACAACGAGUUGCGAGUCGGUGGCGGCGAGCUAAUCUCUUAAAGCCAAUCUCAGUUCGGAUUGUAGGCUGCAACUCGCCUACAUGAAGUCGGAAUCGCUAGUAAUCGCGGAUCAGCACGCCGCGGUGAAUACGUUCCCGGGCCUUNU
RNAcentral lists this ribosomal RNA (788 nucleotides) under uncultured bacterium. RNAcentral describes it as "bacterial SSU rRNA". It matches the Rfam family "Bacterial small subunit ribosomal RNA", at positions 595 to 1384 of the family's 1533-position model. The record is from RNAcentral.